CGAAUGCUGACAUAAGUAACGAUAAAGCGGGUGAAAAGCCCGCUCGCCGGAAGACCAAGGGUUCCUGUCCAACGUUAAUCGGGGCAGGGUGAGUCGACCCCUAAGGCGAGGCCGAAAGGCGUAGUCGAUGGGAAACAGGUUAAUAUUCCUGUACUUGGUGUUACUGCGAAGGGGGGACGGAGAAGGCUAUGUUGGCCGGGCGACGGUUGUCCCGGUUUAAGCGUGUAGGCUGGUUUUCCAGGCAAAUCCGGAAAAUCAAGGCUGAGGCGUGAUGACGAGGCACUACGGUGCUGAAGCAACAAAUGCCCUGCUUCCAGGAAAAGCCUCUAAGCAUCAGGUAACAUCAAAUCGUACCCCAAACCGACACAGGUGGUCAGGUAGAGAAUACCAAGGCGCUUGAGAGAACUCGGGUGAAGGAACUAGGCAAAAUGGUGCCGUAACUUCGGGAGAAGGCACGCUGAUAUGUAGGUGAAGUCCCUCGCGGAUGGAGCUGAAAUCAGUCGAAGAUACCAGCUGGCUGCAACUGUUUAUUAAAAACACAGCACUGUGCAAACACGAAAGUGGACGUAUACGGUGUGACGCCUGCCCGGUGCCGGAAGGUUAAUUGAUGGGGUUAGCGCAAGCGAAGCUCUUGAUCGAAGCCCCGGUAAACGGCGGCCGUAACUAUAACGGUCCUAAGGUAGCGAAAUUCCUUGUCGGGUAAGUUCCGACCUGCACGAAUGGCGUAAUGAUGGCCAGGCUGUCUCCACCCGAGACUCAGUGAAAUUGAACUCGCUGUGAAGAUGCAGUGUACCCGCGGCAAGACGGAAAGACCCCGUGAACCUUUACUAUAGCUUGACACUGAACAUUGAGCCUUGAUGUGUAGGAUAGGUGGGAGGCUUUGAAGUGUGGACGCCAGUCUGCAUGGAGCCGACCUUGAAAUACCACCCUUUAAUGUUUGAUGUUCUAACGUUGACCCGUAAUCCGGGUUGCGGACAGUGUCUGGUGGGUAGUUUGACUGGGGCGGUCUCCUCCUAAAGAGUAACGGAGGAGCACGAAGGUUGGCUAAUCCUGGUCGGACAUCAGGAGGUUAGUGCAAUGGCAUAAGCCAGCUUGACUGCGAGCGUGACGGCGCGAGCAGGUGCGAAAGCAGGUCAUAGUGAUCCGGUGGUUCUGAAUGGAAGGGCCAUCGCUCAACGGAUAAAAGGUACUCCGGGGAUAACAGGCUGAUACCGCCCAAGAGUUCAUAUCGACGGCGGUGUUUGGCACCUCGAUGUCGGCUCAUCACAUCCUGGGGCUGAAGUAGGUCCCAAGGGUAUGGCUGUUCGCCAUUUAAAGUGGUACGCGAGCUGGGUUUAGAACGUCGUGAGACAGUUCGGUCCCUAUCUGCCGUGGGCGCUGGAGAACUGAGGGGGGCUGCUCCUAGUACGAGAGGACCGGAGUGGACGCAUCACUGGUGUUCGGGUUGUCAUGCCAAUGGCACUGCCCGGUAGCUAAAUGCGGAAGAGAUAAGUGCUGAAAGCAUCUAAGCACGAAACUUGCCCCGAGAUGAGUUCUCCCUGACUCCUUGAGAGUCCUGAAGGAACGUUGAAGACGACGACGUUGAUAGGCCGGGUGUGUAAGCGCAGCGAUGCGUUGAGCUAACCGGUACUAAUGAACCGUGAGG
This 1645-nucleotide ribosomal RNA is filed under the name Escherichia coli. RNAcentral describes it as "partial 23S ribosomal RNA". It matches the Rfam family "Bacterial large subunit ribosomal RNA", at positions 1291 to 2916 of the family's 2925-position model. The record is from RNAcentral. Lineage: Bacteria; Pseudomonadati; Pseudomonadota; Gammaproteobacteria; Enterobacterales; Enterobacteriaceae.